Long non-coding RNA from Portunus trituberculatus (swimming crab), 1167 nucleotides. RefSeq lists it as uncharacterized. The transcript is spliced from 3 exons. The record is from RefSeq and is a predicted model, not a curated record. NCBI's taxonomy places the organism in Eukaryota, Metazoa, Arthropoda, Malacostraca, Decapoda, Portunidae.
GUUUGUUUUAUCUUUUAAAAGCAAUGAAUACAUAUUUAAUGGAUGUGCUGAUGUCAACAAAAUGGAAUGUAAACAAACCGGGCAGGCCAGCAGGCACUGCCAGUCGCAGUCAGCAAUGAGUAAAUCAGCGCUCAGAGAAGGGAUAACGCUGCACCAGGAGGCAGGAAACCAACCGUUCCUGUCUAUAUCCCAGUUCAAGACAAACUUCUGGUCGUGAUUGAGGAUAACACCACCUCAAUUUCAGGUGUUGAGAAUGCCUGUGACAGAACAACCAACAGCUGUUAUCAGUGUUCCUGUAGGUUGGUACAGCAAGCUAUGGCAGGAAAGCCAGAAUAUCGAACUGCUGCAGAGGGACAAUAACUUCCAGUGCACCCAUCCUCUGCAUCAUUGCAGGAUCUUGCCAAGAUGACAUUUGAGGAGUUCCACCACCUGUCUGAGAAAGAGAAAAAUAGAUAGGGUUCAAUAUGUUGAUAUGCAAUACAAACUAGCUCAAAUAUUAAAAAAAGUAAUUCUUUCCCAUCUCCUCUUUCAGUAAUAUAAUACUAUUUUAUUUUCAUUUUGUAUGAUAACCGUGGCAUAGUAAUAAGGGGGUAAGCCGGGCAAAUGCCCCGGGCAGCACAUUUCUUAAUGGGCAGCACAAGCGAGGCUACUGAGAGUAUUGGUGUUCAGACUAUUGUUUUAGAAUUUGCAACAUUGAAGGUAUGCAAAAUAAUGAUUUAAAGUUGAUGGAUGUAUAAUAUAAUAUGUAUACAUAAUACACAAAUGCUUAAUUUUACAUUUUAAUUAUUUUUGGGUACAGCAUUUCCAGGUUUUGCCCCCAUGUAAAUCUAUGUCUCACUACGCCGCUGUAUUUUAUUUUAUUUUAUUUAUUUAUUUAUUUAUUUAUUUUAUUUAUUUAUUUAUUUUUAUUUUUUUUUUUAUUUAUUUAUUUUUUUUUUUUUUAUUUAUUUAUUUAUUUUUUUUUUUUUGUAGGGAAAAGGGCCAGCCAAGGGCAGAAAACAGAAAGUUAAAAAAAGGCCCACUUGAGCGCUGGCUCUCCAAAGAGUACAAAAUGUGCCAAAACCGUCAGCCAGAAUUAGGGGAGCAAAAGGUAUGAAAGGGCUGUGGUAUUUAACAGAGUAUUAAAUAUUGUGAUGUGUCACCUUAGUAUUAUUCACUACCUAUCUU